AUUGAACGCUGGCGGCAUGCCUUACACAUGCAAGUCGAACGGCAGCACGGGAGCUUGCUCCUGGUGGCGAGUGGCGAACGGGUGAGUAAUACAUCGGAACGCACCCAGUAGUGGGGGAUAACGCACCGAAAGGUGCGCUAAUACCGCAUACGACCUACGGGUGAAAGCGGGGGACCGUAAGGCCUCGCGCUAUUGGAGCGGCCGAUGUCUGAUUAGCUAGUUGGCGGGGUAAUAGCCCACCAAGGCGACGAUCAGUAGCUGGUCUGAGAGGACGAUGAGCCACACUGGGACUGAGACACGGCCCAGACUCCUACGGGAGGUAGCAGUGGGGAAUUUUGGACAAUGGGGGCAACCCUGAUCCAGCAAUGCCGCGUGUGCGAAGAAGGCCUUCGGGUUGUAAAGCACUUUUGUCAGGGAAGAAAUCUUUCAGGCUAAUACCCUUGGAAGGAUGACGGUACCUGAAGAAUAAGCACCGGCUAACUACGUGCCAGCAGCCGCGGUAA
This 503-nucleotide ribosomal RNA is filed under the name uncultured bacterium. RNAcentral's name for it is "partial 16S ribosomal RNA". It matches the Rfam family "Bacterial small subunit ribosomal RNA", at positions 30 to 523 of the family's 1533-position model. The record is from RNAcentral.